AACGGCCAUACCAUGCUGAAUAUACCGGUUCUCGUUAGAUCACCGAAGUCAAGCAUCAUUGGGCGCGGUCAGUACUUGGGUGGGUGACCACAUGGGAACACCGCGUGCCGUU
This 112-nucleotide ribosomal RNA is filed under the name Caerostris extrusa. RNAcentral also lists the same sequence under 1 other name. Lineage: Eukaryota; Metazoa; Arthropoda; Arachnida; Araneae; Araneidae. The record is from RNAcentral.